Non-coding RNA from Vicia faba (fava bean), 255 nucleotides. The record is from the annotation of a GenBank genome assembly. NCBI's taxonomy places the organism in Eukaryota, Viridiplantae, Streptophyta, Magnoliopsida, Fabales, Fabaceae.
AUGUUGAGGGAGAUGCGUGGUUGUCCUCUUUCAUCUGGUUACAACUGUGUACUUGAUGUUACAAACUUCCGUCAUCGGUGGUUGGAUUCACUAAUGCAUUUCGAGAAGCAGAAUGGUUGGACAGUUAAGAAAAUUGAAACUGAGAACGAGUCAUUAGUUCAAGAUUGUAUUCGUGAAAAACUUGGAUCCGUGCCCAUUCAAGAUGAAUAUGCUCAAUAUACACAGUACUUCUUUGAGGAAGGAAGCAACCCCUAA